CAGCGUUCUCAGGGCGGGGUGGAAUUCCCCACCGGCGGUAUCCGUGAGCGAUCACGGGAGCCCGCGAGCGCCCGUUCAUGCAGCGGCCAACACCGGUGCGAGAACGGGGUCAGCAGACCUGGUGCGAUGCCAGGGCCGACGGUCACAGUCCGGAUGAAAGAGAAACGCGA
RNAcentral lists this non-coding RNA (170 nucleotides) under Rhizobacter sp. Root29. Its description in RNAcentral is "FMN riboswitch aptamer (RFN element)". It matches the Rfam family "FMN riboswitch aptamer (RFN element)". Rfam says of the family: The RFN element is a highly conserved domain that is found frequently in the 5'-untranslated regions of prokaryotic mRNAs that encode for flavin mononucleotide (FMN) biosynthesis and transport proteins. This element is a metabolite-dependent riboswitch that directly binds FMN in the absence of proteins. In Bacillus subtilis, the riboswitch most likely controls gene expression by causing premature transcription termination within the 5' untranslated region of the ribDEAHT operon and precluding access to the ribosome-binding site of ypaA mRNA. The record is from Rfam by way of RNAcentral. Lineage: Bacteria; Pseudomonadati; Pseudomonadota; Betaproteobacteria; Burkholderiales; Sphaerotilaceae. RNAcentral also lists the same sequence under 1 other name.